AUAUCUCUCUGUACGGGAAGGAUGAGAAGCUUCGACUAAGGUUCGAUUCGAGCGCAGCGAGAAAGCGUUGCCGCAGGCAACGACCCGAAGG
RNAcentral lists this small RNA (91 nucleotides) under Salmonella enterica subsp. enterica serovar Derby. RNAcentral describes it as "partial RtT sRNA". It matches the Rfam family "RtT RNA", at positions 1 to 90 of the family's 130-position model. From Rfam's summary of the family: This family represents a bacterial cis-regulatory element known as RtT RNA. The record is from RNAcentral. Lineage: Bacteria; Pseudomonadati; Pseudomonadota; Gammaproteobacteria; Enterobacterales; Enterobacteriaceae. RNAcentral also lists the same sequence under 8 other names.